Molecule: long non-coding RNA, 2376 nt
Filed under: Sus scrofa (pig)
Lineage: Eukaryota; Metazoa; Chordata; Mammalia; Artiodactyla; Suidae
Description: lncRNA (ENSSSCG00025032487.1, ENSSSCG00055015520.1)
Source: RNAcentral
CCAUUAAGUGGUGACAUUCUACUUUACUCAUCCAUAAGUACUUUUUUCCUAUCCUGUUCCACACUCCGUUUUUUGCUCUUUUUUAUUAUCUUUCUCUACUGUUUUUUCCUAUUUUCCCAUUUGUUUUUUCUUUAUUCUGUCAGUGCUAUCAAGAUACAUAGAUUUUUCAGCCCCACUAAUUGGAACUAAAAGUUUGAUGACUCCAUCCCUAAUCUAAAUUAUUAAUUUGAAAAAUUCAUUUAAUAUUUAUUGGAUUUCUACUAUUCAGUAGUAUCCUAGGCCCUAUAGGUAAAGCAUACAAAGUGAAGUCCUACUUUCAAGGAAGCUUACAUUCUCUACACCUGUCCUGAUACAAUAGCCACUAGCCACAUGUAACUGUUCAGCCCUUGAAAUGUAGCUAGUCUAAAAUGAGAUCUGCUUUGAGUAUAAAAUACACAGCAAAAUUUAAAGAUAGUACAACAAAAUCAUAUUUCUUUAAUAAUUUUAUAGUUAUAUAUUUAUAUUAUAUUUUGUUGUAUUGUAGUAAAUAUAUUAUUUAAAUGAAUUUUACCUGUUUCUUUUACAUCUUAAUUGUGGCUUGAAGUAUGACAUUUUUUUUUUGAAAAUGAAGUGUUUUUUCAUGUACUCUUUCUCUCGAUUUUUGUUUAGAUCACAAGAAACUUUAGAACUGUAUUUUUUAAUGGAGAAACUCAAAUGCAGAGGCAUAGGAUUGUUUGUCUAAGAUAACUUAGGGAAUUGAUGCCAAAGAUACUAAAUAAAUUGAAAUCUCUUGACUUUUAAACACAUACCUAUGUAUAAUAAGCCACAAGGAAUGACAACUGUUUUUCUGUAUGAAAAACAGAGUCACUAAAAUUUUCAGAGAAAUAACAUAGGUUAAUUAGAUGAAUGUUUUAGCCUCCUUCCACAAACCCUUCUACUAAGGCAGGCUGAAUAUUGCUGAUGUCAGUCUCUCUGCUGAUGUCACCACUAACUGGCAUAAAUGUGAUAUCUUGAACAAUAGAGUGUAAUUAACAAUGUUAAGUGUGAUGAUUUUAAAUAAAUGAAAAUGCAAAUUGAAAAGAUAUUAAAAUAGUGUCAGUAUUAAUAAUUGUGGCUAUAACAAAAAGAAUGGUGAAUUUUAAUUUUGGACAUGAUUAAAAAUUAAUAUAGUAAGAGACUUUAAGACAAUAAAGACAUUUAACUGAGAGGAAGUUUAUUAGAGAAAUCAGUUUGCUGACAUAGAAAAAUGUAUCCACUUCUAUGGAAUCAGUCACAUUAUGCCUUAACAUAUGGGGAAUUAGAUCCUUAAGGUUUUACUUCAAGUAUGGAACUCUUAACAUUUGAAACACUGUUCAACAUGUUGCUGUAUGAGUUUAGUAUUUUAUAAGCUUUUUUCCUUUUUAUUAUAUAAGAUGCUAAAGUAUUCUGAGAUUCAAUAUGUUGUAUAAGUUUUUAGAUUUCUCACUUUUCAUCAGCAACACAACCGUCAUAAUUUUAUUGUGAAAAAUAUCAUUAACAACACAACUAUCAUAAUUUUAUUCUGAAGAAAAAGCGUUGAGUCUGUGAUUCCUUGAAUAAUACCCUCAAAACUUAUAAUGGAAUUAAAAAUUAUGACUCAGAUUAUCUUAAGUAGAUGAGUUACAAAUUGAAUUAGUUAACUUGUUAAAAUUACUAUUGAAGGAAUACCCAUUCACUUCCUAUACCAGGGAAUGGUAACAAAUAUUUAUCGACUUCCUGUUGUGCACAGUCACUAUACCAGAUACUUUUUAUAAACAUGUCAUUCUAGUCUUUUAGUCUCACGAUAAUUUCACAAAGUAAUUGUCGUCUUUUUUUAACGUUGAAAAAGAACUAAAACUGAAGCUAUCUGAUUUGUUUUUGCUAAAGUUCCUGGCAAGUAUUUUUAUAAAUAUUCAAUAAAUAUUUAUUGAAUAAGGAGUUCCCAUCGUGGCUCAGUGGAAUAAAAUCUGACUAGUAUCCAUGAGGAUACAGGUUCGAUCCCUAGCCUGUCAGUGGGUUAAAGAUCUGGCAUUGUCAUGAUCUGUGGUGUAGGUCGCAGACAUGGCUUGGAGCUGACAUUGCUGUGGCUGUGGCAUAGGCUGGUGGCUACAACUCCUAUUUGACUCCUAACCUUUGAACCUCCAUGUGCUGCGGGUGCAGCCCUAAAAAGAGAGAAAAAAAUUUAUUGAAUAGGAGUUCCCAUUGCGGCACAGCAGAAGAGACUCUGACUAGGAUCCAUGCGGUUGCUCGGUGGGUUAGGGAUCCGUCGUUGCUGUGAGCUGUGGUGUAGGUCACAGGCGCAGCUCAAAUCCUGUGUUGCUGUGGCUCUGGCAUAGGCUGGCAGCAACAGCUCAGAUUAGACCCGCAGCCUGGGAACCUCCAUAUGCUGCAGGUGUGGCC